This 428-nucleotide ribosomal RNA is filed under the name Proshermacha sp. MYG357. Its description in RNAcentral is "partial 16S ribosomal RNA". It matches the Rfam family "Archaeal large subunit ribosomal RNA", at positions 1959 to 2666 of the family's 2987-position model. Lineage: Eukaryota; Metazoa; Arthropoda; Arachnida; Araneae; Anamidae. The record is from RNAcentral.
UAAAAGAAUUAAUUUUUAGUACACCCUGCUCAAUGAACCUUAAAUAGCCGCAAAAUUUGUGCUAAGGUAGCAUAAUCAUUUGCCUAAUAAUUAUAGGAUAGGAUGAAGGGGCUAACAUGUAAUCUCCUCUAUCAAGAAGAAUAUUUUAACUUACAAAGUAAGCAAGAACACUUACUAAAUCAGGGGGACGAUAAGACCCUGUCAAACUUUACCCAUUGAGGUUCAGCUGGGGCGGCAGAAAAUUAAAACUUUAUUCAAAAUUAUUUAUCAGAGCCUGAACGACAGACAAAACAAGUUACUGCAGGGAUAACAGCACAAUCGUCUUUUAAAGACCUUAUAAAAAAGACGGCUUGUGACCUCGAUGUUGAAUUAAAGAUCUCUUUGAGGUAGCCCUCAAAGAAGAAAGUCUGUUCGACUUUUAAACCAUU